AGGCCAGGCUGAGGGACUCCACCA
Molecule: microRNA, 24 nt
Filed under: Eptesicus fuscus (big brown bat)
Lineage: Eukaryota; Metazoa; Chordata; Mammalia; Chiroptera; Vespertilionidae
Description: efu-miR-9193
Source: miRBase by way of RNAcentral